RNAcentral lists this unclassified non-coding RNA (405 nucleotides) under soil metagenome. RNAcentral's name for it is "partial contains 5.8S ribosomal RNA, internal transcribed spacer 2, and large subunit ribosomal RNA". The stretch from base 1 to 121 matches the Rfam family "5.8S ribosomal RNA", at positions 35 to 154 of the family's 154-position model. The record is from RNAcentral.
GAUGAAGAACGUAGCGAAAUGCGAUAAGUAAUGUGAAUUGCAGAAUUCAGUGAAUCAUCGAAUCUUUGAACGCACCUUGCGCCCUUUGGCCAUUCCGAAGGGCAUGCCUGUUUGAGUAUCCUGAACACCUCAACUCUUUAUGGUUUUCCAUGAUGAGCUUGGACUCUGGGGGUUUUGCUGGCUCACAGUCGGCUCCUCUAAAAUGAAUCAGCUUACCAGUGUUUGGUGGGUAUCAUGGGUGUGAUAACUAUCUACGCUUGUGGUUUUUCCACCAGGUAACCUUCAGCAGUGGAGGUUCGCUGGAGCUCAUAGAUGUCUCUCCUCAGUGAGGACAGCCCUUUGAAUGUUUGAUCUCAAAUCAGGUAGGACUACCCGCUGAACUUAAGCAUAUCAAUAAGCGGAGGA